Molecule: non-coding RNA, 924 nt
Filed under: Atlantihyla spinipollex (Ceiba stream frog)
Lineage: Eukaryota; Metazoa; Chordata; Amphibia; Anura; Hylidae
Description: partial 12S ribosomal RNA
Rfam family: Bacterial small subunit ribosomal RNA
Source: RNAcentral
UGGUCCUAACCUUGAAAUCAGUUGUUACUUAAUUUAUACAUGCAAGUCUCCGCACCCCUGUGAGAACGCCCUUAAUUUCCUGCCAGGAACAAGGAGCCGGUAUCAGGCACAACUUUUAGCCCAAGACACCUAGUUUAACCACACCCACAUAGGGCACCCAGCAGUAAUCAACAUUGAGCAUAAGCGUCAGCUUGACUCAGUCAAAGUAAAUAGGGCCGGCAAAUCCGGUGCCAGCCGCCGCGGUUACACCACGAGGCCCAAAUUGAUUUUUUUCGGCGUAAAGCGUGAUUAAAGUACCAAAACAAUUAUAGUUGUACCAGAACUAAGCCGUAGCACGCUUGUACCUGAGAAAAACAAAAACGAAAGUUACUAUAUAUACAUCAACUUGAAUUCACGACAGCUGAGAAACAAACUGGGAUUAGAUACCCCAUUAUGCUCAGCCGUAAACUUUUAUUUACACCCAUAUCGCCAGGGAACUACGAGCCAAGCUUAAAACCCAAAGGACUUGACGGUACCCCACAUCCACCUAGAGGAGCCUGUCCUAUAAUCGAUAACCCCCGCUUAACCUCACCAUUUUUAGCAUAACAGCCUAUAUACCUCCGUCGUCAGCUUACCUCGUGAGUGAUCCUUAGUGAGCUUAAUGUCCUUACGUCAGUACGUCAGGUCAAGGUGCAGUAAAUGAAAUGGGAAGAGAUGGGCUACACUCUCUAAUAUAGAAUACACGAAAAACUAUUUAUGAAAUUUAGUCAGAAGGCGGAUUUAGAAGUAAAAAAAGACCAUAGUGCUUUUUUUAAUACGGCACUGGGGUGUGUACACACCGCCCGUCACCCUCUUCAAAGCCAAAAGACAGUAUAUAACACAAAACAGCUAACUAGAAGAGGCAAGUCGUAACAUGGUAAGUGUACCGGAAGGUGCACUUGGAAA